GAUGAACGCUGGCGGCGUGCCUAAUACAUGCAAGUCGAGCGAACAGACGAGGAGCUUGCUCCUCUGACGUUAGCGGCGGACGGGUGAGUAACACGUGGAUAACCUACCUAUAAGACUGGGAUCACUUCGGGAAACCGGAGCUAAUACCGGAUAAUAUAUUGAACCGCAUGGUUCAAUAGUGAAAGACGGUUUUGCUGUCACUUCUAGAUGGAUCCGCGCCGCAUUAGCUAGUUGGUAAGGUAACGGCUUACCAAGGCAACGAUGCGUAGCCGACCUGAGAGGGUGAUCGGCCACACUGGAACUGAGACACGGUCCAGACUCCUACGGGAGGCAGCAGUAGGGAAUCUUCCGCAAUGGGCGAAAGCUUGACGGAGCAACGCCGCGUGAGUGAUGAAGGUCUUCGGAUCGUAAAACUCUGUUAUUAGGGAAGAACAAAUGUGUAAGUAACUAUGCACGUCUUGACGGUACCUAAUCAGAAAGCCACGGCUAACUACGUG
Molecule: ribosomal RNA, 497 nt
Filed under: uncultured bacterium
Lineage: Bacteria
Description: partial 16S ribosomal RNA
Rfam family: Bacterial small subunit ribosomal RNA
Source: RNAcentral